This 292-nucleotide ribosomal RNA is filed under the name uncultured bacterium. RNAcentral describes it as "partial 16S ribosomal RNA". It matches the Rfam family "Bacterial small subunit ribosomal RNA", at positions 505 to 796 of the family's 1533-position model. The record is from RNAcentral.
GUGUCAGCAGCCGCGGUAAUACGUAGGGUGCGAGCGUUAAUCGGAAUUACUGGGCGUAAAGCGUGCGCAGGCGGUUUUGUAAGACAGGCGUGAAAUCCCCGAGCUUAACUUGGGAAUGGCGCUUGUGACUGCAAGGCUAGAGUAUGUCAGAGGGGGGUAGAAUUCCACGUGUAGCAGUGAAAUGCGUAGAGAUGUGGAGGAAUACCGAUGGCGAAGGCAGCCCCCUGGGACGUCACUGACGCUCAUGCACGAAAGCGUGGGGAGCAAACAGGAUUAGAUACCCUGGUAGUCC